Molecule: ribosomal RNA, 234 nt
Filed under: uncultured bacterium
Lineage: Bacteria
Description: partial 16S ribosomal RNA
Rfam family: Bacterial small subunit ribosomal RNA
Source: RNAcentral
UGAGGAAUCUGUCCAUCGGCGGGGGAUAGCCGGCCCAACGGCCGGGUAAUACCGCGUACGACCUUUCGGGGACAUCCCCGGAUGGUGAAAGCAGCAAUGCGCCGAUGGAGUGCCUCGCGGCCUAUCAGCUAGUUGGUGGGGUAACGGCUCACCAAGGCAACGAUGGGUAGCUGGUCUGAGAGGAUGGCCAGCCACAUUGGGACUGAGACACGGCCCAGACUCCUACGGGAGCAG